UGAGGAUUUCACCAAUUUGGUCCUCGACUACCAAAAUUACUCAAUUUGGUCCUUGACUAUGACAUUUUUACCUGAUUUGGUCCUAAGUGUUAUUUGCAAGUCAAACCUAAAGGGUAAUUUUGAAAUUUAAAAAAAGUAUCUUCCUUCUUCUUCCCUAAAUCUAAGUCGUUUGUUUUAUAUAGAUAGGUUAUUUGUUUUCGAUAGCAGUCGCAGCUUCAAUAUGCAACCAAAGUGCCGUGAAUCAUCUUCAUCCAGCUAUAAUAAUCGAAUGAUGUU
This is a long non-coding RNA of Ipomoea nil (Japanese morning glory), 276 nucleotides long. RefSeq lists it as uncharacterized. Lineage: Eukaryota; Viridiplantae; Streptophyta; Magnoliopsida; Solanales; Convolvulaceae. The transcript is spliced from 2 exons. The record is from RefSeq and is a predicted model, not a curated record.